UUUUGGGGGGGUAUUAGGGAUUUUGGUUUUGGUGGCGGUGGGAAAUCGAAGGGCAUCGCAUCUUUACGAUGCAUUCGGUGUCGCCUUUUCUAUUUGAUCUGUUGACUUUACCUCAAGCUGCUUCUUUCUAUGGAGUUUUGUGUUCUCAUCGUUUGAAGCCUUGGCGUAAUAGUUUUAGUUAACGUUUAGUUUCAUCUUCGUCUGUUUUCUUUUUCUUCUGUUGUUGCUGUUUCAGUUGUGAUCUUGCUGGUUUUCUGUUUCUUUCGAGGGGAUUUUUCAGCUGUUUCACAUCUUUUUCCGAGUAGUUGUAGUCGAAUCUGGUGGAAGUUUGCGUGAUUUUGCUAUACAUCGACAUACUGAAAGAUUUUUGCUGCUCUCUUUAAUUGAUGGCCGUUUGUUCUGCUACUUACAAGUGUGACUCUGAAAGUUUAAGUUGCUUUUGUGAGUCAUCAAAGGAGACUCUUGGUUCCGCUUCUUGCUAUCCAGGAGGUCCUUUUGUUAGUGAUCUUGGGUACCAUUUCACUGAAUCUCUGAGUAUUAAGGAUGGUGAAGACUUGAUUUACAAGGAACAUUCCAACACAUUGGAGGAAGAUGGAACUGAAGAUAUGCAUGCAAAUGAUGCUGACACUGGCAGUACGGACUCAGAGAAAUGCUUGAUCAAGUCCUCAGAAUUUCCAUGCUCUUCUAUGAGCACUCCCCCUGCUGAGUUGGUUCAUGAGAAGGAGCAGGAGGCUGAUGCUAAAUCAACUGACUUGCCUUAUUCACGUUCCAUAUCUUCACCUACAGCUUUGAAGCUUAUAUCUGCCAUUAAAGGUAGCCGUGAGAAACAAGGCAAGCCACCCAAGAAGCUGUCUGUGACAUGGGCUCCCGAUGUGUAUGACCCUAUCCCAACAGCAGCUUCGCAUGUGCCAAUCAAGGGGCAACGCCACAGGAGUGACCACAGGAAGAAUGGAAAGAGCAAGCAGAAAAGUAAUGGCAAAUCUUCACGUGGAAGCAAAGGUAAAGACAAGAAACAAGGUCGCAAACAUGGUGGAAGUACCAGGAGGAGUUAUUAUCCUCUAGAGGAUAAGGACAUAAUGAGUUGUAAUCGCUUUCACUGUCUGGAGGAUGAAAUUACUGCUCAUUCUAGUGGGCUGCAGGCUGGUGCCAUGGAUUAUGAUAUUGGCAGCCCCCCGGAUUCAUUCUGCGGUAGCAGUUUCCGAAAGAAAUCUGUCACAGAGUUGCAUUUCCCAGUUGCAAAGGCUUCAUGAGCUUCCUUUCUGAUCGUUGGUGUGUUUUCUUCUCGAUUGUUUCCUUCUAGUUGUAAAUAAAUAAGUUUGACGCUUAUCUGAGUUGUGGGAGUUGUUAUAGAGUUGUUGGCAUUUUUGUACUUAAAAAAACUUCUUAACUUUUGACCUGUUGAAUGGACGGAUGACUUUUUG
RNAcentral lists this unclassified non-coding RNA (1421 nucleotides) under Hevea brasiliensis (rubber tree). The record is from RNAcentral. Lineage: Eukaryota; Viridiplantae; Streptophyta; Magnoliopsida; Malpighiales; Euphorbiaceae.